RNA transcript from Ornithodoros turicata, 2032 nucleotides. It is a transcript of the gene named arginine-glutamic acid dipeptide repeats protein-like, with no coding region annotated. The transcript has 11 exons. The record is from RefSeq and is a predicted model, not a curated record. Lineage: Eukaryota; Metazoa; Arthropoda; Arachnida; Ixodida; Argasidae.
AACGGCAGUGCUGGACAACUCACCAAGCACCAGUCGCAGCCUCACCCGUUGAGAUUUUGUGGUCGUAGGAGUGUUAAAAGUUUUAUUUCUAACUCGUUAUAGACACCUAAGACGACACCGUCUUCGCAGUUAUCAUGAAAGAUAGUCGAAACAACCCAGUUAUAACAUUUGCUUUUGUGCAUUAAUGGAUGUAUCAGAUGCAGAUUUUGACUCUUACUGGGAAAAUGAAUCUCGCAACAACAAUAGAAACCGAAUCAGAGUAGGCCGUCAAUACCAAGCUACGGUUCCACCACUGCUGAAACCUGGCGAAAGUGAUGGGCGCCGGCUGGAGGACUUGGAAACUCUCCGUUGGCGCCCGGAGAGUCUGUCUGACCAAAGCAUCGAUGAGUACCUGUCUAUGGCCAAAGCGGUGAGUCUGUUUGCCCGGGCCAUGGACAAAUGCCAGACAUCAGAAGAGGCCUCAGACGGCUGCUUGCAGACAGCACUUAAAGGCCUGUCAGACUUUGUCACCUCACAUCACGGAUGCCACCACGAUGCGGGAUGCCAAGUUGGGCCUUCCUUGCCUUCUGACUGGACACCUAAUGAAGCCAGUCUCUUUGCCAGGGCACUCGACGAGUGCGGGAAAAACUUCAGUGCCAUCAAAAAGGACUUUCUUCCGUGGAAGCCCGUGAAAAGCCUUAUUGAGUACUACUACCAAGGCAAGUUGGAGAAACAGGACCCACCCACAUCACUAGAUGAACCAGGGUGCAGUGGUACUGUCAAGGAGGAACCGGUGAAGCAGGAAAAAGUAGAGGAGGAGGAGGCUGAAGAAGAAGAAGAGGAUGAAGAUGAUGAUGAAUGUGGGAAGGAAGGGGAUGGACCUGUUCAGACAGAGACCAGUCCCCAGCAUGAAGAAGGUCCAGAAGUAAAGCCUAUGAGAGCCAAGCCAAUAAAGCCUGAAGAACCCUCCUCUGCCACUUCAAUGGGCAGUCUUAAGUUUUAUCUUGGAGGCCGCCUCGUUCUGAAAUUGAGUGCCCAGGAAGGUGGUGCAUGGGUCGAGUCGCAGGAUACUCCCCGCCUCGGAGUUCCUAAGAAACCACCUUCAGACGAUAGUGAGGACGAGGAGGCUCCCAAGCGACCGAGGGGUAGCUCCCUGUCAAUUUCGUGGCCUGAGACUGCGUUGGUGCAGCCUCCAGGAUCAAGGGCCCCCUCGUCUACGGGGGCCCCUGCCCAGGAGGACUCAACGGAUGACGAGCCGGACGAUGAGCCACAACAAAGUAUGCACAGAGUGGAAGCAGCGCAGUCCCCACAAGCACCUUCAUCAAAUCCUUCCUCAGUGUCAACAGCAUCCACAUCUGCAACCGCAUCGCCUCUUAAUCUCUCUGUACGGUCUUGGAAACCCGAAGCAAUCAGUCCACCUUCCACCCCUCGUAGGUGCAGCACUGCUUCUCCAAAGGAUGGUAUCAGGUCCCAGCGAAAAAGCAAAGGAACCAGGAUGGGCGAAGACGUCAAACCCGGUUCGAAGCUAUGUGCCUCUCAUCACACGUUGCUACCAGCCCUACUUUCCAUUACCCAACACAGAAGUCCCACUAGACCUGUCUUCCCCGGUUGACCGAUUUUCUUUGGACGCGAAAAGGGCGUCCCCGUCAGUGGCGCCGAAAUGACCAGUGUGGCCCUGCCAGCUGCAGCUCCUACUUUACGACCAGCAGCAGGUGCCUCACAAUGCGUUUCUCUACAUGGUCUUGUGCAAUGCACUUUAAGUGUGCCUGUGCUCCUGGAAAAGUGUGUGGUGUGCAGUUGUUCAUCUGAUGUUAGCAUGGGGAUGCGUGCAAAGGAACAUGUGGGUGUGCCAGUAUAUUUAUGCACGUACAUUGUGGCGUUGCCAGUAUCGUCGUCGGCCUUGUGGACUUUGCUCGGCUUGUGUCACAGAUGACGGGCCGUUGUACAUAGUGUUUAUUUAUUACUGAUUAUAACUCGUUUGUACCUAAGGCCAGCGGAUACGAGCACUCCGGUGGAAUUUCUCGAAGCAAAUGAAUAAUGUUUUAGUUAGGUA